This 236-nucleotide ribosomal RNA is filed under the name uncultured bacterium. RNAcentral describes it as "partial 16S ribosomal RNA". It matches the Rfam family "Bacterial small subunit ribosomal RNA", at positions 118 to 354 of the family's 1533-position model. The record is from RNAcentral.
UGAGUAAUCUGCCCUUCUCAUCGGAAUAAGCGUUGGAAACGACGUCUAAUGCCGAAUACGACCUCCUUUCGCAUGAUCGGAGGUGGAAAGCUCCGGCGGAGAAGGAUGAGCUCGCGGUCUAUCAGCUAGUUGGUGUGGGUAAUGGCCCACCAAGGCGACGACGGGUAGCCGGCCUGAGAGGGUGACCGGCCACACUGGGACCGAGACACGGCCCAGACUCCUACGGGAGCAGCAGG